Molecule: unclassified non-coding RNA, 332 nt
Filed under: soil metagenome
Description: partial contains 5.8S ribosomal RNA, internal transcribed spacer 2, and large subunit ribosomal RNA
Rfam family: 5.8S ribosomal RNA (bases 1-120)
Source: RNAcentral
GAUGAAGAACGUAGCGAAAUGCGAUAAGUAAUGCGAAUUGCAGAAUUCAGUGAGUCAUCGAAUCUUUGAACGCACAUUGCGCCCUUUGGUAUUCCUUAGGGCAUGCCUGUUCGAGCGUCAUUUAAACCUUCAAGCUCAGCUUGGUGUUGGGUGACUGUCCGCUUCACCGCGGACUCGCCUCAAAAUUAUUGGCGGCCGGUACAUUGGCUUCGAGCGCAGCAGAAACGCGAACUCGGGCCCGUCGUAUUGGCUCCCAGAAGCUAUCUUCACAAUUUUGACCUCGGAUCAGGUAGGGAUACCCGCUGAACUUAAGCAUAUCAAUAAGCGGAGGA